CCCGGGCCUUGUACACACCGCCCGUCACACCACGAGAGUUUGUAACACCCGAAGUCGGUGGGGUAACCAUUUGGAGCCAGCCGCCGAAGGUGGGACAGAUGAUUGGGGUG
Molecule: ribosomal RNA, 110 nt
Filed under: uncultured bacterium
Lineage: Bacteria
Description: partial 16S ribosomal RNA
Rfam family: Bacterial small subunit ribosomal RNA
Source: RNAcentral